RNAcentral lists this long non-coding RNA (1781 nucleotides) under Homo sapiens (human). RNAcentral's name for it is "HSALNT0017847". The record is from RNAcentral. Lineage: Eukaryota; Metazoa; Chordata; Mammalia; Primates; Hominidae.
UUUACAUUCAGUUAUUGAAAGAUCUCUAAGAGGUAAAGAUGGUUCUCUGGGUUCCUGAUAAAAGUGUCUAGAUAGAUGGUAGAGGGCAAUUCCAAGAGGGCAACUCCAAGAUAGAAAAUUUGGAAAAAGAACAAAUUUAGGGGAAACAGAAGAUAAGCGAGUUCAGGUUCCAGUCAUGCGGUGUUGGAGAUGCCUGUGUCAUCUGAUGAAGACUAGUACGCAGCUGGAUAGCAGAGUCCGAAACUCAGGUGGAGGUGAAGUUAUGAGGGAAUUAUCACAAUCUAGUUUGGAUUCAUAUUUCUUAAAUAUGUAUGACAACUUACCAACUGGAAUGUUCUAGCUAAUAUCUCAACUUAGAAUCCAUCUCACUACCAAUGGGCAAACACUUGUGUUCUAAAGUUACUUGCAAGUAGUUUAUACUGCCAACUUGAUAUAUAUACAUGCUAUAGUUUGAACAUUUUGUGUACUUCCAAAAUUCACAUUAAAAUCUAAUCCACAAUGCGUUGGUAUUAUUAAGAGGUGGGGCCCUUAGGGGUGAUUAGGCCAGGAGGGCUCCACACUCAUGGAUGGGAUCAGUGCCUUUCUAAGAGGGCUUGAGGGAGAGAGUUUGUCCCUUUUACCCUUCUGAUACUGCGAGAAGGCACCGUACUGGAAGCAGAAAGCAAGCCCUUACCAAACACCAAUCUGCUGGUGCCAAAUCUUAGACUUCUCCAGCCUCCAGAAGUGCAAGAAGUAAAUAUUAUUUAUAAAUUCUUAGUCUAUGGCAUUUUGUUACAGCAGCAGGAAUAGACUAAGACAAUGUGUUGAUAGGUUUAGGGUCAUGUUUUACUUUUUCAGUCAUGUUAAAUUUUAGAUGGUUCUAAAGUCAAAACUCUAGAAAAAGUUAAAUUCACAGAAUAGCUUCCAUCCUCAUCUCCUUCCUUCCCCUGCUAACAAUUUUUAUUAGCUUUGGGUUUACUCGUUUCUUUUUGAAACAUAAGCAAAUACACCUAUGUGCAUACAUUCACAUUUCUCACCCUUUCUUACACAAAUGUAGUGGGUAUACCAUAAAUGUUCUGCACUUUGCUUUUCCACUUACUCUAUCCUGGAGACCAUUUUACGUUAUAUAGAACUCUUCAUUGUUUUGUGACUUAAGUACUCCCUCAUGUGGAUGCACCAUAAUACAUUCCUGUUAAAUAGACACGAGUAUUUUUAAUCUUUUGCAUAUAGCAUUCCAAAUUUUUCUAAAUGUACCUUUCAGAGCCCAGAAAGAAGUUAAAAUUCUGGGUCAAAGGAUAAAUGAAUAUGUCAUUCUGAUGGUUAUUACCAAAUACUCUUUCUGAGACAAGAGUCUUACUCUGUCACCCAGGCUGGAGUGCAGUGGCACAAUCUCAGCUCACUGCAACCUCUGCCUCCCGGGUUCCAGUGAUUCUCGUCCCUCGGCUUCCCAGGUUCAAGUGAUUCUUGUCCUUCAGUCUCCCGAGUAGCUGGAGUUACAGGCAUCUGCCACCAUGCCCAGCUAGUUUUUUUUAUUUUCAGUAGAGACAGGGUUUCACCAUGUUGGCCAGAUGGUCUUGAACUCCUGACCUCAAGUGAUCCGCCCACCUUGGCCUCCCAAGGUGUUGGGAUUACAGGUGUGAGCCACUGCACCUGCCCAAAUAUUCUUGUUAACCAAAGUUUAACUUUUGCAUUCCAUUCCCAUAUAUGUGUCCUUAUUUCUCCACAGCCUCAACUCAAUACAGUUGUUUUUAUACUUCUUUUUCAAGUGAAAGGUAAAAACACUGGUUUAUUCUCUUCUGAAC